RNAcentral lists this long non-coding RNA (342 nucleotides) under Vigna radiata. Its description in RNAcentral is "long non-coding RNA (VRAD_LNC002989)". Lineage: Eukaryota; Viridiplantae; Streptophyta; Magnoliopsida; Fabales; Fabaceae. The record is from RNAcentral.
UAGAUUGGGGGAAAAGCUAGAAGGAUGUUAUGAAUGGUCCCUUGAAGAUAUAUGGUGCGAAAAUGUGGUGGAUCAUCAAGGAUAGGGGCUAGAAAUGCGGAAGUUAUGGUAUUUGUGAGGCUAGAAGCUCAUAGUCAUAUGGUGGUUAAAUGGUGGUGAUGUUGUGUUUGAAGGCUCUAAGAGAGGUUACGUCAACUCAAAGAGAAAGGUGACUAGAGGGGCCUCUAGGGUUGCUCUAAUCUUGAUCUAAGAUGAGUAGUAUGGCAAAAAAUGGGCAACAUAACAUUACUCAACACCAUAGAUGAAUACAUUAUAUGAGACACCUCUAUUUAUAGGCUAAGG